AACCGCGGUUAUACGAGAGGCCCAAAUUGACGCACCACGGCGUAAAGUGUGAUUAGAGAUCAACCCAGACUAAAGCCGAACACCCCUUAUGCUGUCAUACGCCAUGGGGGUCACGAAGCUCAACAGCGAAAGUGGCUUUAUGAAUCUUGAACUCACGACAGCUAGGACA
Molecule: ribosomal RNA, 169 nt
Filed under: Echidna nebulosa (snowflake moray)
Lineage: Eukaryota; Metazoa; Chordata; Actinopteri; Anguilliformes; Muraenidae
Description: partial 12S rRNA
Source: RNAcentral